CAAGGGAUGUGAAGGGUAACAAGAAGGGUUUCUACAGGUAUGUUAGCAACAAGAAGUAGUUCAGGGAAAGUGUGGGAACCUUGCUGAAUGUGGGAGGCAGCAUAGUGACAGAUGGUGUGGAAGAAGCUGUACUCAAUGCUUUUUUUGCCUCAGUCUUCAGAGACAAGGUCAAGUCCCAGACUACUGCACUGGGCAGCACAGUAUGGGGAGGAGAUGAGCAUCCCUCUGUGGUGAAAGACCAGGUUAAGGACUAUUUAGAAAAGCUGGAGAUGCACAAGUCCAUGGGGCCGGGAUGUGCUGCUAUCCA
Long non-coding RNA from Gopherus evgoodei (Goodes thornscrub tortoise), 307 nucleotides. RefSeq lists it as uncharacterized. The record is from RefSeq and is a predicted model, not a curated record. The transcript is spliced from 3 exons. Lineage: Eukaryota; Metazoa; Chordata; Testudines; Testudinidae.